GGGGAUAACUACUGGAAACGGUAGCUAAUACCGCAUAACGUCGCAAGACCAAAGAGGGGGACCUUCGGGCCUCUUGCCAUCGGAUGUGCCCAGAUGGGAUUAGCUUGUUGGUGGGGUAACGGCUCACCAAGGCGACGAUCCCUAGCUGGUCUGAGAGGAUGACCAGCCACACUGGAACUGAGACACGGUCCAGACUCCUACGGGAGGCAGCAGUGGGGAAUAUUGCACAAUGGGCGCAAGCCUGAUGCAGCCAUGCCGCGUGUAUGAAGAAGGCCUUCGGGUUGUAAAGUACUUUCAGCGGGGAGGAAGGGAGUAAAGUUAAUACCUUUACUCAUUGACGUUAUCCGCAGAAGAAGCACCGGCUAACUCCGUGCCAGCAGCCGCGGUAAUACGGAGGGUGCAAGCGUUAAUCGGAAUUACUGGGCGUAAAGCGCACGCAGGCGGUUUGUUAAGUCAGAUGUGAAAUCCCCGGGCUCAACCUGGGAACUGCAUCUGAUACUGGCAAGCUUGAGUCUCGUAGAGGGGGGUAGAAUUCCAGGUGUAGCGGUGAAAUGCGUAGAGAUCUGGAGGAAUACCGGUGGCGAAGGCGGCCCCCUGGACGAAGACUGACGCUCAGGUGCGAAAGCGUGGGGAGCAAACAGGAUUAGAUACCCU
This 654-nucleotide ribosomal RNA is filed under the name uncultured bacterium. RNAcentral describes it as "bacterial SSU rRNA". It matches the Rfam family "Bacterial small subunit ribosomal RNA", at positions 139 to 788 of the family's 1533-position model. The record is from RNAcentral.